Molecule: long non-coding RNA, 1078 nt
Filed under: Zea mays
Lineage: Eukaryota; Viridiplantae; Streptophyta; Magnoliopsida; Poales; Poaceae
Description: long non-coding RNA (ZMAY_LNC004801)
Source: RNAcentral
UUCAUCAGCAUCACCAUGUGGAGUAGCCCGCGCUUGGAGUCGACUUGAGUCAUCUUCCGCAUCACGUGAUUAAUUAUCGCACCUGAAUGAAAUGCAUUAUGCAUAUGAAUGCAUAUAGACAGGAAUAUCAAAAACCCUAAAUAGUGCUACGCGAUGGCGAAUUUAAACACCUAGCGGCGAGGCGUUGUACAAUUUUAUACGGAAUCACUAGUUAUUAAUAUAUGAUUAAGCAAACUAAUUACGCUUCUCGUACCUAACGCAAACAUCAUGAACAACAAACUAUACAAAUUUAAUACAAUUAGUCUAAACACAACUUAUCAGCUAAUUGACUUAAAAAUUUAGCUUUACGAUUCUGGGACACCUAAUGUUUAUAAAAUUAUAGAAGAAACUUUAUUAACCUUCUAAACUAUUUUCCAGAUUAAUUUAUAUAACACAUUAGUUGGUUACGACAUUUAUCGAUCAUAAACAUAGACUGAUUAUACUAAAUACUAGAGCAUGACAUCGACUUCUUUAAACAAACAUCAUUCAUCACAGGCAAUACUGACCACGCCUACCAGUAAAACAUUCAAAACACGAAACCUAUCAUUCGUCUUACUAAUACACCAGGUCGCAAAUAUAGAAACGAUUCAAUCCUACUUCACUUAGGUUUACCCACAUAUUCAUCGCAUAAUAGACAUCUAAACCUAACCUUCACAUGACGACUAAUCUAGGACCGUGAUCACAAGCACUUCACAAACAUCUAAUACACCACAACACGCAUGCUACAGACAGGAUCAUUAUCGACCUGCAUAUAUAACCACUCCGGGCAUAGGACCAAUAACAGUGAAUUGGCUUACCACACUAAACUGAACUCGAUGACCGCGAGAACGACGAUGGUCCUGAUUCAGGCGUUUUGUCGAGCACCAAGCAAGCGUUGCACGAGCAAGAUGACGUCGAGGCGUGGAUCAAAGACGGACAACCGGUCCGAAAGAGCGAAACUCGACGUGGAAGCUCGACACGUCGUGGCGAGCAGAGAACUUCGCGCACAACAACGCGACAGAGGAGAACUUCGCGGCAGCACGCGCAGGAACAACGGAAC